AUAUUUUUUCUCUUCUUAUGACUCCACAUAAAUGUUGAUUCCAAAUGCACGCUUUCUUCUUAAACCAUUCUAUGUGCCUUCCUUUUAAAAAAUUUCCUCAGUAACCUCUACAGAAUCCAAAACAGGUGAAGUAAUUUCAGUUAACCAAAAUUCUAGCCCUGGUUCCCACACUAACAGCUGUUGAUCUUAGAGGGAGGUCUAGAUUCUUCUUGUCCAAAAGACACAACCUAGAGCAAGGGUAAGAACUGGGAAUAAUACAGACAGAAACCAAGGGACACCUUUUACCUAAGGGAUGGUCUCUUUCUGAGGUGAUGGCACAUAGGCUGAAAUGUAAUGAUGACAAUGAGUCAGCGUUGUGCAGCUCUGAGGGAAGAAUGAUCUAGGCAGAAUAAACAAGGGGAAUGUCUGCGGCAGGAAGGGGUUGGAUGUAUGUACUGCAGGAAGGGAGGAGAAUGGAGAUGGAUUAUGUUGUAGUAAUAGAUAUGGAAUAGAUCUUUCCAGGUCUUCCAGGCCCUGAAAGAUGUUUAUAUUUUAUCUUAGGAGGAAGCCCAGCAUCAAGAACAGCAAGUAAGAGUUCACCAGGCUUAAGCUGUUGUCAAGUUUAGGGUCAACACAUGUUUUAUUAGGUCCUUUCUCCUCUUCUUUCUUUUUCUCACAAUUUCUGGUUUGAUUAGAAGACCCAGUUUUCUGAGAAACGCAACAACAACAACAUAAAAAAACUGUAGUAGAUGAAUCCCAAGGCACUGCCAAUUAUUUAAGAUUCCAUAAACUACAAAUGCAAGCC
RNAcentral lists this long non-coding RNA (784 nucleotides) under Homo sapiens (human). Its description in RNAcentral is "HSALNT0252467". The record is from RNAcentral. Lineage: Eukaryota; Metazoa; Chordata; Mammalia; Primates; Hominidae.